Long non-coding RNA from Raphanus sativus (radish), 1612 nucleotides. RefSeq lists it as uncharacterized. The record is from RefSeq and is a predicted model, not a curated record. The transcript has 4 exons. NCBI's taxonomy places the organism in Eukaryota, Viridiplantae, Streptophyta, Magnoliopsida, Brassicales, Brassicaceae.
UAAGCGACUCAUCAACUUCACCUGCUUCGUUCUAUUGCAGAAGCGUAGACGUUUAUCACCUUUUUCAAUUGUCUUCUGUAACGUCGGUCUCCACCAAUCUUUCUCAUUAAACUCCUUUUUCACAGCUACAAUCGUGACCGAUGCAACCGUUCCAAAUCCCUCAUUUUUAUGUCGGGAAAAAAAUCCGAAGGAUGCUGGGAUGCUGGGAUGCUGGGCCGGUUCUUCUUCCUUAGCUUGAGCGAAUCACUGUGACUGUCUGAGGACGACUAAUAGGAAGAAGAUGAUGAAGCCCUGUUUCAGAGGUCAAUAAGAUCUUCAAGGGUUUUCCUCAAAUAUAAAAUCCCACAGGUGAAGGUUGGAAGAAGACCUGGUGAUGCAGAGAAUCAGAGCUCCUUAACCGAAAAGAACUUGAACUGAACUGGAAGUCAAACAGUGGAACAGAAGAGAUGUGUAGGGAGCAAUGUAACUGGCCCAGAAACGAAGCUCAAGUGAAAUUUGCUAUUCUAGCGUACCAUCUCUUUUUCAGAGUGAUUUAAAUGUCAAAGCAACAGUCUGAGCUACACCAACAAAAACAGAAGACUGAAGAUUAAGGAAUUUGGAGUUGCGAUUAAAAGAAAAUUAGAAACCAUGCGCAUAUUUAGUUUAUUCCAUUACAUUUAUGAAGAAAUCUGCACUGGUGUCAAUGCAACAGUCUUCUCUACUAUUUGGUACAUUCCAUUACAUUAACGCAGAAAGCACUGGUGUCAAUGCCUCACGGAGAUUCCAUUACACGCAUGUCUUGAAUAAAACAGCAAGGGCAAGAAAUAAAGAAGCCGAUCAGAAGUCACACAUGCUCUUUUGCGAGCUAUGAAGUCGCACGACUUGAACUGCUGCUAGCUACUACAAAUUUGUGAGCCAUGAAAUAAGAAGUGCUUUAAGGUCAUUCUAUCCCUAAUCGAUUCAGUGGUAGGCAGUUACCAUGCACUGUUUCCAGAAGGAACUCCCAUGGAGUUGCUGGAUACUAACUCCUACCGAUUUGUGGUGUUGAUGCAAGGUCUUAAGAAAGCUCAGCAGAGCAUACUUGAUGAUCUCAUCAAGCAUGGCCCAAGGUUUACACAGCCCUCUGUUUCAGGGGUAAUGCCACAAGUGGUUCCAGCCCACCUGCACUGCGCUGGUAAUCACUAAUCCGGGUACAACAGCUAGGUUUAUAGCAAACAGCGAGGAUGUGUUAACCAGGCAGAAGCUCUUGGCAGAGGAUCUGAAACCAUUGGCUUUAAUAAUUUAAUUGCUCUCACUGAAGCUGCCAAAGACCUCAAAGAUGGUCUCUCUCUCACUUUUAACAGGACAAACAAGCUUUCUUCAAGACUUUCUUCAAGACUUUCUUCACGUGGCUUAAACCAGGUUCAUCAGCGACUGAUGUAGGAGCUUGAAAGCUCCAUCUCCUGAGUUUUCAGAGUACAUCAAACAGAGAAGAUAUGAUCUCCAUGAUGUUCAAGCAUAUGCGAAGGUUUUUUUCCUUUGUCAAUGAUAUGUGUUUCUGUGUGUAUCAAAACCCUAAGCUUUAAUCCAUGUAACAAAAAUAUGCAUUGUAUUAUGCUAAAGACGCCAGUUUUAAGUUCAAACUUUUAUUAUC